GACGAACGCUGGCGGCGUGCUUAACACAUGCAAGUGGAGCGACGAACCAGGCUUCGGCCUGGGGCAAAGCCGCGAACGGGUGAGUAACACGUGGGUAACCUGCCCCGAUGACCGGGACAACCCGGGGAAACCCGGGCUAAUACCGGAUGUGCUCGCAGCUCUCAAGCGCUGUGAGCAAAGGAAGCUUCGGCCUCCGCAUUGGGAUGGGCCCGCGGCCCAUUAGCUUGUUGGUGAGGUAAAGGCUCACCAAGGCGACGAUGGGUAGCUGGUCUGAGAGGACGAUCAGCCACACUGGGACUGAGACACGGCCCAGACUCCUACGGGAGGCAGCAGUGGGGAAUCUUGCGCAAUGCGCGAAAGCGUGACGCAGCAACGCCGCGUGGGGGAAGAAGGCCUUCGGGUUGUAAACUCCUUUCAGGAGGGACGAAGGGCAGGGCGCGAAUAGCGACCCUGUCUGACGGUACCUCCAGAAGAAGCCCCGGCUAACUACGUGCCAGCAGCCGCAGUAACAC
RNAcentral lists this ribosomal RNA (512 nucleotides) under uncultured bacterium. RNAcentral describes it as "bacterial SSU rRNA". It matches the Rfam family "Bacterial small subunit ribosomal RNA", at positions 28 to 526 of the family's 1533-position model. The record is from RNAcentral.